UACGGAGGGUGCAAGCGUUAAUCGGAAUUACUGGGCGUAAAGCGCGCGUAGGUGGCUACUUAAGCUAGAUGUGAAAUCCCCGGGCUUAACCUGGGAACUGCAUUUAGAACUGGGUGGCUAGAGUACAGCAGAGGAUAGUGGAAUUUCAGGUGUAGCGGUGAAAUGCGUAGAGAUCUGAAGGAACAUCAGUGGCGAAGGCGACUGUCUGGGCUGAUACUGACGCUGAGGUGCGAAAGCGUGGGGAGCAAACAGG
RNAcentral lists this ribosomal RNA (253 nucleotides) under uncultured bacterium. RNAcentral describes it as "partial 16S ribosomal RNA". It matches the Rfam family "Bacterial small subunit ribosomal RNA", at positions 524 to 776 of the family's 1533-position model. The record is from RNAcentral.